Molecule: long non-coding RNA, 654 nt
Organism: Manihot esculenta (cassava)
Lineage: Eukaryota; Viridiplantae; Streptophyta; Magnoliopsida; Malpighiales; Euphorbiaceae
Exons: 2
Source: RefSeq, a predicted model, not a curated record
AAAGCCCCACGAAACCAAUGCGUGCUGACCUUAUCGAAAUUAAAGUCAAAGUGAUCUUGGGUGGUAAUUUUCAGAAUCCAUGGGUCUUGCGCGUUGAUUUUUAGUCGACGGCUCCUCGGUAUUAGACAGUUUUGGAGUUGCUGUGCUAGAUAGGAGCAAGGAAUUGCUGUGCCUCAUCUCGAAUGGCUGGCGUGCUAGAGCCAAACAAGGAGAUGGUGCUUUGCGAUCUCGAUUUUAUUUUGAAGCUCUGAUUAUUAUUUAUGCAUUAUUCUCUCUGGACAGGCUUCAAUUCCACUUAAGCCCUGCCGUGAUCUUCUAAAUCUCCCCGGACCAGAAGAUGAGAAAGGCAGGAAAAACACACCUACCCUGAUGAGAUAAUUUCACCCACCACUGUUCAGACUGUUCAUGGCGCUACAGGUCAGUCACAGAGGGCAAGCAAGACUGCUGCCUUAUUUUAAUUAUUUGUUCCUGUUGUAAGCCUGUCUCCUUCUUAACCUUUAUGCUUUCUCUACACAUGCUAUGCUUUCUAUGUAUUGUGGCUUUGUUCUACUUGUUGCUUUAAAUUGUGUUUUUACCCUAUUUUGAUAAGUAGUCUGUUGAUAUAUUGACAUGAAAGUUUAUGUUGUUGUUGCUCAAAUAUGAUUUUAGUUGCUA